GUACACUCCUACGGGAGGCAGCAGUGGGGAAUUUUGGACAAUGGGCGAAAGCCUGAUCCAGCAAUGCCGCGUGUGUGAAGAAGGCCUUCGGGUUGUAAAGCACUUUUGUCCGGAAAGAAAUCCUUGGCUCUAAUACAGUCGGGGGAUGACGGUACCGGAAGAAUAAGCACCGGCUAACUACGUGCCAGCAGCCGCGGUAAUACGUAGGGUGCGAGCGUUAAUCGGAAUUACUGGGCGUAAAGCGUGCGCAGGCGGUUUGCUAAGACCGAUGUGAAAUCCCCGGGCUCAACCUGGGAACUGCAUUGGUGACUGGCAGGCUAGAGUAUGGCAGAGGGGGGUAGAAUUCCACGUGUAGCAGUGAAAUGCGUAGAGAUGUGGAGGAAUACCGAUGGCGAAGGCAGCCCCCUGGGCCAAUACUGACGCUCAUGCACGAAAGCGUGGGGAGCAAACAGGAUUAGAUACCCUUGUAGUCCC
Molecule: ribosomal RNA, 474 nt
Filed under: uncultured organism
Description: partial 16S ribosomal RNA
Rfam family: Bacterial small subunit ribosomal RNA
Source: RNAcentral